UGCCCCGAUAUCCCAAUCGGCAGAGGAAGCGGUCUCAAACACCGUUAAGUGUGGGUUCGAGUCCCACUCGGGCAC
RNAcentral lists this transfer RNA (75 nucleotides) under Actinomadura sp. J1-007. Its description in RNAcentral is "tRNA-Leu". It matches the Rfam family "tRNA". From Rfam's summary of the family: Transfer RNA (tRNA) molecules are approximately 80 nucleotides in length. Their secondary structure includes four short double-helical elements and three loops (D, anti-codon, and T loops). Further hydrogen bonds mediate the characteristic L-shaped molecular structure. tRNAs have two regions of fundamental functional importance: the anti-codon, which is responsible for specific mRNA codon recognition, and the 3' end, to which the tRNAs corresponding amino acid is attached (by aminoacyl-tRNA synthetases). tRNAs cope with the degeneracy of the genetic code in two manners: having more than one tRNA (with a specific anti-codon) for a particular amino acid; and 'wobble' base-pairing, i.e. permitting non-standard base-pairing at the 3rd anti-codon position. The record is from RNAcentral. Lineage: Bacteria; Bacillati; Actinomycetota; Actinomycetes; Streptosporangiales; Thermomonosporaceae.